UACGUAGGUCCCGAGCGUUGUCCGGAUUUAUUGGGCGUAAAGCGAGCGCAGGUGGUUUAUUAAGUCUGGUGUAAAAGGCGGUGGCUCAACCAUUGUAUGCAUUGGAAACUGGUAGACUUGAGUGCAGGAGAGGAGAGUGGAAUUCCAUGUGUAGCGAUAAAAUGCGUAGAUAUAUGGAGGAACACCGGUGGCGAAAGCGGCUCUCUGGCCUGUAACUGACACUGAGGCUCGAAAGCGUGGGGAGCAAACAGG
RNAcentral lists this ribosomal RNA (252 nucleotides) under uncultured bacterium. Its description in RNAcentral is "partial 16S ribosomal RNA". It matches the Rfam family "Bacterial small subunit ribosomal RNA", at positions 524 to 776 of the family's 1533-position model. The record is from RNAcentral.